GGUGUGGUGACCGAGUGGUUAAGGUGGUGGCCUGCUAAGCCAUUGUGCUCUGCACGCGCGUGUUCGAAUCACGCCCACAUCG
This is a non-coding RNA of Cryptosporidium ubiquitum, 82 nucleotides long. NCBI's taxonomy places the organism in Eukaryota, Apicomplexa, Conoidasida, Eucoccidiorida, Cryptosporidiidae. The record is from Rfam.